UAGAGAGUUUGAUCCUGGCUCAGGAUGAACGCUGGCGGCGUGCCUAACACAUGCAAGUCGAACGAAGCAUGACCCUUGAGGCCUUCGGGCGGAGAGGGGCAUGACUUAGUGGCGGACGGGUGAGUAACGCGUGGGUAACCUGCCCUAUACUGGGGGAUAACAGCUAGAAAUGGCUGCUAAUACCGCAUGAGCGCACAGUCCCGCAUGGGACAGUGCGGAAAACUCCGGUGGUAUAGGAUGGACCCGCGUCCGAUCAGCUGGUUGGUGGGGUAACGGCCCACCAAGGCGACGAUCGGUAGCCGACCUGAGAGGGUGACCGGCCACAUUGGGACUGAGACACGGCCCAAACGGUCCUACGGGAAGCAGCAGUGGGGGAUAUUGCACAAUGGGGGGAACCCUGAUGCAGCGACGCCGCGUGAGUGAAGGAGUACUCCGGUAUGUAAAGCUCUAUCAGCAGGGAAGAAGCAAGACGGUACCUGACCAAGAAGCCCCGGCUAACUACGUG
This 505-nucleotide ribosomal RNA is filed under the name uncultured Lachnospiraceae bacterium. RNAcentral's name for it is "bacterial SSU rRNA". It matches the Rfam family "Bacterial small subunit ribosomal RNA", at positions 1 to 507 of the family's 1533-position model. Lineage: Bacteria; Bacillati; Bacillota; Clostridia; Lachnospirales; Lachnospiraceae. The record is from RNAcentral.